This is a long non-coding RNA of Bos taurus (domestic cattle), 1001 nucleotides long. Lineage: Eukaryota; Metazoa; Chordata; Mammalia; Artiodactyla; Bovidae. The record is from Ensembl.
CCCAUUGCUAUAUGUCAGUUGCAUCUCAGUGAAGUUGGGAAAAAAAUAAGCAUCUCAUUCUUUUACCAGGACAACCUGUGCAGAGGAGUAAGUUGCUGAUGAUCAAACUUAAGGCUGUUUUAACACAUGAAACAGUGAUGAAAUCCUAGAGGGUGUAUUUCAACAGCCAUGGUCCCCUCUACCACUUGCAUUCCUUUAAGUUCAUGUGAGAAAGAGGAUGAGAGUCUGGUGAGAGUGCAGUCAGUCUGGGAGAGUCAAAUGCAGUUUUUUCUUCUAGGUAGAUGGGGCCCUGGAUAAUUGGACCCAGGUGCCUGGAAGAGAGGCCACAAAGCUUUCAAGGUAUAAUCAAGCCUACUUAAGAUUAUAAACAGCACGUGUCCUUUGCUUGUCAGAGCGCUCUCAGCCUCACCUCUGACAGGACUCUCCAGUUCUUUCCCUUCAAACAAAAGUCCUCGCCUCCUCCUGCUGUUUCCACAACCCAGUUCCCAUGACUUUUGUUCUUCCCACUGCUGAAGGGAUUCUGCUUCAAUCCCUUUUCCCAAUCCCAGAAUCAAUCAGAUGCAUCUCCAGUGUCAAGGAUUCCUGGCAGGAGCCCCAAAUGGGCAAGAGUGGAGUCCAGGUCCUCUGCACAGAUGGAGUUGGCCCUUGGCGGCCCUGCACAACACAAGAUCACGGCAGGGCCACGAUCUUGGCUAACUCCACAGUGGCUGUCAAGCUCGCAGUACAAUGCCUGGCAUACUGGAGUUCAAAAAACCACACCAAGGACUCAUCACAGCUGACACCUGACGCUCACAGCUCCACCUCAGAUCAUCAAGUGUUAGAUCCCGGAAGUUGGGGAUCCCUGCUAUAGAGGUUCGAUCCCUGGGUCAGGAAUAUCCUCUGGAGGAGGAAAUGACAACCCACUCCAGUAUUCUUGCCUAGGAAAUUUCACGGACAGAGGAGCCUGGCGGCCUGCAAUCCAUGGGGUCUCAAAGAAUCGGACAUGACUGAGUGACUAUCAC